RNAcentral lists this ribosomal RNA (433 nucleotides) under uncultured bacterium. RNAcentral describes it as "partial 16S ribosomal RNA". It matches the Rfam family "Bacterial small subunit ribosomal RNA", at positions 29 to 507 of the family's 1533-position model. The record is from RNAcentral.
AACGAACGCUGGCGGCAUGCCUAACACAUGCAAGUCGAACGAGACCUUCGGGUCUAGUGGCGCACGGGUGCGUAACGCGUGGGAACCUGCCCUUAGGUUCGGAAUAACUCCCCGAAAGGGGUGCUAAUACCGGGUAAUGUCUUCGGACCAAAGAUUUAUCGCCUUUGGAUGGGCCCGCGUUGUAUUAGCUAGGUGGUAGGGUAAAAGCCUACCAAGGCGACGAUCCAUAGCUGGUCUGAGAGGAUGAUCAGCCACACUGGGACUGAGACACGGCCCAGACUCCUACGGGAGGCAGCAAUGGGGAAUAUUGGACAAUGGGCGAAAGCCUGAUCCAGCAAUGCCGCGUGAGUGAUGAAGGCCUUAGGGUUGUAAAGCACUUUUACCCGGGAUGAUAAUGACAGUACCGGGAGAAUAAGCUCCGGCUAACUCCGUG